AUUGAACGCUAGCGGGAUGCUUUACACCUGCAAGUCGAACGAGUGGCGGACGGGUGAGUCAUAUAUCGGAACGUGCCCAGAAGCGGGGGAAAACCUCUCAAAAGAGUCUCUUAUCCCCCAAACUCCUGGGGCGGACGAUAUCGGAGUGGCUAGUUGGUGGGGAAAAGGCUCAGCAAGGAAAAGAUCUGUAGCUGGUUUGAGGGGACGACCAGCCACACUGGGACUGAGACACGGCCCAGCCGCAUACGGCAGGCAGCAGUGGGGAAGUUUGGACCAUGGGGGAAACCCUGAUCCAGCCAUCACGCGUGUAUGAGAAGGCCUUCGGGUUUGAAAGUACUUUUGGCAGAGAAGCGGUAUCUGCAGAAUAAGCACCGGCUAACGACGUGCCAGCCGCCGCGGUAAUAC
This 405-nucleotide ribosomal RNA is filed under the name uncultured bacterium. RNAcentral's name for it is "partial 16S ribosomal RNA". It matches the Rfam family "Bacterial small subunit ribosomal RNA", at positions 30 to 526 of the family's 1533-position model. The record is from RNAcentral.